Salvia miltiorrhiza (redroot sage) is the source of this 485-nucleotide long non-coding RNA. RefSeq lists it as uncharacterized. Lineage: Eukaryota; Viridiplantae; Streptophyta; Magnoliopsida; Lamiales; Lamiaceae. The transcript is spliced from 4 exons. The record is from RefSeq and is a predicted model, not a curated record.
AAGCAGGCAAUGAUAGUAUCAAGUGGAUUCUGUGCAGCAGGAUGGCUUUCGAUUUACUUUGCAGAGGUUUUGGUAUUCAUAGCUGAAAUCGCCACCAAGGAUUUAAGAUGAGCUUUGACAACCAUAAAUCAGCUUAUAAUUUGUACUGGAGUAUCUGUAUCAUUCAUCCUAGGCACAUUGCUGAUAUGGAGGGCUCUAGCAUUAGUAGGACUUGCUAACUGGUGGUACGGACCCCAUUGUGAAAUCGAGGAUUGCAAAAAAUUUGUAGGGUAAAAGGACGCAGAUGCUCAUCAACCCAUGGAGCAUAGGAUGUAAACAAUAGGACUUGUUUCCUUCUUUCAUUUUCUUUCUUUUUAGGAAGACACUUCGAAUUAUAUGUUUAUCAAUGUAUCUUUCAUUGUAUGCGAUACAUGAAAAGAUUGUAUUUCAUAAUUCAUUAUAUUUGAUUCAUAUAAUGUAUGAUAUGCUAUUUUAUAUUUUUAUAA